GACAGAGGGUGCAACCGUUGUUCGGAAUUACUGGGCGUAAAGCGUGUGUAGGCGGUCGCGCCAGUCGGAUGUGAAAGCCCUGGGCUCAACUCAGGAAGUGCACCCGAUACUACGUGGCUAGAGUACCGGAGAGGUUGGUAGAAUUCUCGGUGUAGAGGUGAAAUUCGUAGAUAUCGAGAGGAAUACCUGUGGCGAAGGCGGCCAACUGGACGAGUACUGACGCUGAGACACGAAAGCGUGGGGAGCAAACAGG
RNAcentral lists this ribosomal RNA (253 nucleotides) under uncultured bacterium. RNAcentral describes it as "partial 16S ribosomal RNA". It matches the Rfam family "Bacterial small subunit ribosomal RNA", at positions 524 to 776 of the family's 1533-position model. The record is from RNAcentral.